This 233-nucleotide ribosomal RNA is filed under the name uncultured Actinomycetales bacterium. RNAcentral's name for it is "partial 16S ribosomal RNA". It matches the Rfam family "Bacterial small subunit ribosomal RNA", at positions 96 to 334 of the family's 1533-position model. Lineage: Bacteria; Bacillati; Actinomycetota; Actinomycetes; Actinomycetales. The record is from RNAcentral.
UGGCGAACGGGUGAGUAACACGUGGGUGAUCUGCCCUGCACUUCGGGAUAAGCCUGGGAAACUGGGUCUAAUACUGGAUAGGACCACAUUUUGGAUGGUGUGGUGGAAAGUUUUUCGGUGUGGGAUGAGCUCGCGGCCUAUCAGCUUGUUGGUGGGGUAAUGGCCUACCAAGGCGUCGACGGGUAGCCGGCCUGAGAGGGUGUACGGCCACAUUGGACUGAGAUACGGCCCAG